Molecule: ribosomal RNA, 253 nt
Filed under: uncultured bacterium
Lineage: Bacteria
Description: partial 16S ribosomal RNA
Rfam family: Bacterial small subunit ribosomal RNA
Source: RNAcentral
UACAGAGGGUGCGAGCGUUAAUCGGCAUUACUGGGCGUAAAGCGUGCGUCGACGGUAGCGUAAGUCAGAUGUGAAAGCCCCGGGCUCAACCUGGGAAUUGCAUUUGAGACUGCUCUGCUCGGGUGCGGAAGAGGGAAGCGGAAUUUCCGGUGUAGCGGUGAAAUGCGUAGAUAUCGGAAGGAACACCAGUGGCGAAAGCGGCUUCCUGGUCCGACACCGACGUUCAGGCACGAAAGCGUGGGGAGCAAACAGG